AUGGCCAGCUUGGCGCGCCCAGGACACGGUCCUCGACGCCUCGCUCUGCACUGCGUUCGCCACGCCCCGCACUCCCCGGCCCGGCCGUCGCUCCCCAUCGCGCUCGGACUCGAACAACGCGGCCGUCUCAGUGCGGCGACGCGGUCACCUCCUCGGCGAUCGACCCCGUGCUCCACACACCCCCCGGCCCCAGCUCGCGGCCUUGAACAUGCACCAAAGCGAUCAACUCGGCCGAUCCAGCGUGCCCAGGAGCUCAGUCUUCUCCUCGCCGAGCCACGCCGCGCCACUAGAGCCUCUGUGCCACCACGCAGGUCCGCCGCGGCCGCCGUGCUCUCGCAUGCACGGCAUCAACGUGCUCCACUCCACGGCCUCGGAUGA
RNAcentral lists this ribosomal RNA (378 nucleotides) under Triticum aestivum (bread wheat). Its description in RNAcentral is "partial small subunit ribosomal RNA". Lineage: Eukaryota; Viridiplantae; Streptophyta; Magnoliopsida; Poales; Poaceae. The record is from RNAcentral.